This 245-nucleotide ribosomal RNA is filed under the name uncultured bacterium. RNAcentral describes it as "partial 16S ribosomal RNA". It matches the Rfam family "Bacterial small subunit ribosomal RNA", at positions 89 to 334 of the family's 1533-position model. The record is from RNAcentral.
CGGCGACCGGCAAACGGGUGCGGAACACGUACGCAAUCUACCCAAAACUGGGGAAUAGCCCGGGGAAACCCGGAUUAAUACCCCGUAACAUAUUGAGAAGGCAUCUUUUUAAUAUUAUAGCUCCGGCGGUUUUGGAUGGGCGUGCGGCUGAUUAGGUAGUUGGCGGAGUAAUAGCCCACCAAGCCUACGAUCAGUAACUGGUGUGAGAGCACGACCAGUCACACGGGCACUGGGACACGGGCCCG